UUUACAUGAUGAUUAACAUUAUCACCAUCUUUCGACUGAGAAACAGUGCUGUUAUUUACAUGUUACUGAUAAA
Pieris napi is the source of this 73-nucleotide small nucleolar RNA. Lineage: Eukaryota; Metazoa; Arthropoda; Insecta; Lepidoptera; Pieridae. The record is from RefSeq and is a predicted model, not a curated record.